This 1957-nucleotide long non-coding RNA is filed under the name Olea europaea subsp. europaea. Lineage: Eukaryota; Viridiplantae; Streptophyta; Magnoliopsida; Lamiales; Oleaceae. The record is from RNAcentral.
CAGCAUUUUGAGCGUUGAGUCUUGGGGUUUUUUUCUGCCAAGAAGAACUAGAGAAGGUGGCUUUCGGGGUUGCUCUUCCGAUCGAUAAUUUCUUUAUCCAUAUCAUUAUCAUGGUCAUGUAUUCAUAGAGUGAAUCUUGAAGGACAGUUUCAAGUUUCUGUUCUUCGUCCAAUUGACGAUUGAUUUAGGUUAAUUCGUUUGGGGUUUUCCAUUUUAUGGGUGGUUAUUUCAGAAAUUCUGUUCUCUGAGUGGUAAUUAUCUCUCUUGUUUCUAUAAUUCUUUAUCUUACAAUAACGUAUUUUGUUCGAUCAUUAGGAAGAAUCUUGAGGGAUUUUUUCUAUGUGAAAAGUGAUGAUCAAUUUUGUGAAUUCUUUGUUCUUUUUUAUUUGUACGGUACCGAGAGUGGUUAUUCUAGAGAUGAAACUGAUCAACCCUUUCUAUGUCACAAAAUUAUGAAAUCCCAAAUCAGGGAUUGAUCAUUAACGGUUGUGUUUGAUAGAUGUCAUUGGAGUGAAUCAAGAUUGGGAUUUUCUGUAUGUAUAUUUGUUUUGUGAAUUCUACAUGGGAUUAAUUUCUUAUUGAAUUUGUGUUUCGGUUGAAUAUUGAUGGGCUGUGAGGGUGUUUUUUUUUUUUUUUUUUUUUUUGUUUCGCUGUGAUAAUGAUCUCUUUGUUUUUGCUCUCUGUCUUCAAUUGAAGUUGAUGAUCUUUGAAAGAUCUUUCUGUGGGUUAAUUGUUAUGUAUGAUGAUCAAUUUUGGGUCUCACUGGAUUUGUUUGUGUGAGUCCUGUAUGGAUUGAACCUUAAUAUAAUUUGUCCCUUUUUGUGGAUAUCUUUGUUUUUGCUCUGUGUCUUCAUAAUUGAAGUUGAUGAAUUUUGAAGGAUCGCUCUGUGGGUCUUAUUUGUUGAGCUUUUCCAAAAUUUGAAAAAGAAAUAAACGUGUUUCUGAAAUAACACCUUAUUAAUAGAGCUCUACAGUUAGAUUGUGACGUGUUUAUUUCCUGACCAUUAGAUCUAAUUCUAGAUUCUUCUAUCUAUCUAAUUAUGAGAUCUUUAGGGAAAUAUACACUUUUAAAAAUGGCAGUUUCAGUUUCUCUCUCUUCUCUUACUAGUUCUCAGAAUUCGGUCCCUUCAUCUCUCUCCACUCUAUGCGUAGAAAAUCAUUUUCUUUUAAUGAGAUUCGGGCUUAAUUUUUGGUAUAUUUUCUAAAAUCAAAACCUGUUAUCAUCAAGAAAUAUUCUAGAUCCAUAUGGAUGUUGUACAAUUUCAGCUUUGGUUAAGUCGAAUCUGUGGGAUUCGAGUUUUGCCCGAUUUCUUGUGAGAUCUUAGUGAUCUCGGCCUCUUCCUAUGUACGGUAGUGGCUGGUUUGUUGUGUUCCUUGGUGGAAUGUCACUUGUUGGGUAAUAUGUUCUUGUUGUUGAAUAACUCGAAAGAGGGCAGUUCAUGUUCUUGGUGAGAUCUUUAUGAUCUAGUGUGAUUCUUUCGUGGAAUAGAUGUUGGUUUUGUUGAAAAUAAGAUAAGUCUACUGUGACUUAUUUCUUUGUAAUAUUUUGGAACAUUAUUGUAUACUAGCCGCCUCCUUCAUCCAUUUUAAUGGAUGCUCAACAGGGGAUUAGGCAUUAGAAGUGGUCGCUGAACCUCUAGGGCUUCGGUCGAAAAAUUCUUCGUGUUCAUUUUAUUUUCUACAAUUUAUUUUCAGUUUAUAAUUGUGGUUUUGGAAUCUUGGUUAAUAUUAGUAUCUCUCGACUUUUCAGUGGUAUCAGAGCAACCUGGACUACUGGAGCUUUGUGAUUUUUCAAUUAAACCUGAUUCCUGAAACCGAAGUACACAUUGGCCGAUGAAAAUUGAGUUUUAUCAAACUCAUUGGUGAGAUCUUUCCUGCAUUUUGUAAUUAAUCUUUACAGUAGGGUCUCCUAAUUUUUCCCUUGAUUUACACUAACUAAACCUACUGUGACUCGUCU